RNAcentral lists this ribosomal RNA (253 nucleotides) under uncultured prokaryote. RNAcentral describes it as "partial 16S ribosomal RNA". It matches the Rfam family "Bacterial small subunit ribosomal RNA", at positions 525 to 777 of the family's 1533-position model. The record is from RNAcentral.
ACGAAGGGGGCUAGCGUUGCUCGGAAUUACUGGGCGUAAAGCGCACGUAGGCGGCUUUGUAAGUCAGAGGUGAAAUCCCGGGGCUCAACUCCGGAACUGCCUUUGAGACUGCAUCGCUCGAAUCCGGGAGAGGUGAGUGGAAUUCCGAGUGUAGAGGUGAAAUUCGUAGAUAUUCGGAAGAACACCAGUGGCGAAGGCGGCUCACUGGACCGGUAUUGAUGCUGAGGUGCGAAAGCGUGGGGAGCAAACAGGA